GCUAGCGACAGGCUUAACACAUGCAAGUCGAGGGGUAACAGGGUGUAGCAAUACACCGCUGACGACCGGCGCACGGGUGAGUAACGCGUAUGCAACCUGCCUUUGACAGAGGGAUAGCCCAUGGAAACGUGGAUUAAUACCUCAUAGUCUCUUUUUCCUUCCUGGGGAAUAGAGUAAAACGAGAGUGGUCAAAGAUGGGCAUGCGUCCUAUUAGGCAGUUGGCGGGGUAACGGCCCACCAAACCGAUGAUAGGUAGGGGUUCUGAGAGGAAGGUCCCCCACACUGGUACUGAGACACGGACCAGACUCCUACGGGAGGCAGCAGUGAGGAACAUUGGUCAAUGGUCGAGAGACUGAACCAGCCAAGUCGCGUGAGGGAAGACUGCCCUAUGGGUUGUAAACCUCUUUUCUACUGGGAGAAUAAGCCUUAUGUAUAAGGUGAUGACAGUACAGUAGGAAUAAGCAUCGGCUAACUCCGUGCCAGCAGCCGCGGUAAUACGGAGGAUGCGAGCGUUAUCCGGAUUUAUUGGGUUUAAAGGGUGCGUACGCGGCUUUAUAAGUUAGUGGUAAAAUUUCGGAGCUUCACUCCGGUCCGCCAUUAAAACUGUAGAGCUAGAGAAUGGGACGAGGUAGGCGGAAUAAGUUAAGUAGCGGUGAAAUGCAUAGAUAUAACUUAGAACUCCGAUAGCGAAGGCAGCUUACCAGACCAUAACUGACGCUGAUGCACGAGAGCGUGGGUAGCGAACAGGAUUAGAUACCCUGGUAGUCCACGCCGUAAACGAUGCUCACCGGCCCUUAGCGAUAAGACAGUUAGGGGUUAAUUGAAAGAAUUAAGUGAGCCACCUGGGGAGUACGUCGGCAACGAUGAAACUCAAAGGAAUUGACGGGGGCCCGCACAAGCGGAGGAACAUGUGGUUUAAUUCGAUGAUACGCGAGGAACCUUACCUGGGUUUAAAUGUAUAUUGCAUAAUCUGGAAACAGUUUUUCUCUUCGGAGCUAUAUACAAGGUGCUGCAUGGUUGUCGUCAGCUCGUGCCGUGAGGUGUCGGGUUAAGUCCCAUAACGAGCGCAACCCUUACCGUUAGUUGCUAGCAUGUAAUGAUGAGCACUCUAGCGGGACUGCCACCGUAAGGUGAGAGGAAGGGGGGGAUGACGUCAAAUCAGCACGGCCCUUACAUCCAGGGCGACACACGUGUUACAAUGGCCAUAACAGCGGGUAGCUACCGGGUGACCGGAUGCAAAUCUCGAAAAUUGGUCUAAGUUCGGAUUGGAGUCUGCAACCCGACUCCAUGAAGUUGGAUUCGCUAGUAAUCGCGCAUCAGCCAUGGCGCGGUGAAUACGUUCCCGGGCCUUGUACACACCGCCCGUCAAGCCAUGGAAGCUGGGAGUACAAGAAGUCCGUA
This 1401-nucleotide ribosomal RNA is filed under the name uncultured organism. Its description in RNAcentral is "SSU rRNA". It matches the Rfam family "Bacterial small subunit ribosomal RNA". The record is from RNAcentral.